AUGAACGCUAGCUACAGGCUUAACACAUGCAAGUCGAGGGGCAUCAGGAAGAAAGCUUGCUUUCUUUGCUGGCGACCGGCGCACGGGUGAGUAACACGUAUCCAACCUGCCCUUUACUCGGGGAUAGCCUUUCGAAAGAAAGAUUAAUACCCGAUGGCAUAAUGAUUCCGCAUGGUUUCAUUAUUAAAGGAUUCCGGUAAAGGAUGGGGAUGCGUUCCAUUAGGUUGUUGGUGAGGUAACGGCUCACCAAGCCUUCGAUGGAUAGGGGUUCUGAGAGGAAGGUCCCCCACAUUGGAACUGAGACACGGUCCAAACUCCUACGGGAGGCAGCAGUGAGGAAUAUUGGUCAAUGGGCGCUAGCCUGAACCAGCCAAGUAGCGUGAAGGAUGAAGGCUCUAUGGGUCGUAAACUUCUUUUAUAUAAGAAUAAAGUGCAGUAUGUAUACUGUUUUGUAUGUAUUAUAUGAAUAAGGAUCGGCUAACUCCGUGCCAGCAGCCGCGGUAAUACGGAGGAUCCGAGCGUUAUCCGGAUUUAUUGGGUUUAAAGGGAGCGUAGGUGGACUGGUAAGUCAGUUGUGAAAGUUUGCGGCUCAACCGUAAAAUUGCAGUUGAUACUGUCAGUCUUGAGUACAGUAGAGGUGGGCGGAAUUCGUGGUGUAGCGGUGAAAUGCUUAGAUAUCACGAAGAACUCCGAUUGCGAAGGCAGCUCACUGGACUGCAACUGACACUGAUGCUCGAAAGUGUGGGUAUCAAACAGGAUUAGAUACCCUGGUAGUCCACACAGUAAACGAUGAAUACUCGCUGUUUGCGAUAUACAGUAAGCGGCCAAGCGAAAGCAUUAAGUAUUCCACCUGGGGAGUACGCCGGCAACGGUGAAACUCAAAGGAAUUGACGGGGGCCCGCACAAGCGGAGGAACAUGUGGUUUAAUUCGAUGAUACGCGAGGAACCUUACCCGGGCUUAAAUUGCAGUGGAAUGAUGUGGAAACAUGUCAGUGAGCAAUCACCGCUGUGAAGGUGCUGCAUGGUUGUCGUCAGCUCGUGCCGUGAGGUGUCGGCUUAAGUGCCAUAACGAGCGCAACCCUUAUCUUUAGUUACUAACAGGUUAUGCUGAGGACUCUAGAGAGACUGCCGUCGUAAGAUGUGAGGAAGGUGGGGAUGACGUCAAAUCAGCACGGCCCUUACGUCCGGGGCUACACACGUGUUACAAUGGGGGGUACAGAAGGCAGCUAGCGGGUGACCGUAUGCUAAUCCCAAAAGCCUCUCUCAGUUCGGAUCGAAGUCUGCAACCCGACUUCGUGAAGCUGGAUUCGCUAGUAAUCGCGCAUCAGCCACGGCGCGGUGAAUACGUUCCCGGGCCUUGUACACACCGCCCGUCAAGCCAUGGGAGCCGGGGGUACCUGAAGUACGUAACCGCAAGGAUCGUCCUA
RNAcentral lists this ribosomal RNA (1427 nucleotides) under Bacteroides fragilis. RNAcentral's name for it is "bacterial SSU rRNA". It matches the Rfam family "Bacterial small subunit ribosomal RNA". The record is from RNAcentral. Lineage: Bacteria; Pseudomonadati; Bacteroidota; Bacteroidia; Bacteroidales; Bacteroidaceae.